RNAcentral lists this ribosomal RNA (254 nucleotides) under uncultured bacterium. RNAcentral describes it as "partial 16S ribosomal RNA". It matches the Rfam family "Bacterial small subunit ribosomal RNA", at positions 524 to 776 of the family's 1533-position model. The record is from RNAcentral.
UACGGGGGGGGGCAAGCGUUGUUCGGAAUUACUGGGCGUAAAGGGCUCGUAGGUGGUCAACUAAGUCAUACGUGAAAUCCCUCGGCUUAACCGGGGAACUGCGCCUGAUACUGGUUGACUUGAGUUUGGGAGAGGGACGCGGAAUUCCAGGUGUAGCGGUGAAAUGCGUAGAUAUCUGGAGGAACACCGGUGGCGAAGGCGGCGUCCUGGACCAAUACUGACACUGAGGAGCGAAAGCCAGGGGAGCAAACGGG